Molecule: long non-coding RNA, 699 nt
Filed under: Papio anubis (olive baboon)
Lineage: Eukaryota; Metazoa; Chordata; Mammalia; Primates; Cercopithecidae
Description: lncRNA (ENSPANG00000041058.1)
Source: RNAcentral
GUGCAAAUUGCAGGGAAUGCUUAGGUACAAGGUCUAGCACUACCCUCAAAGUAGCUCACAAUCAAGUGGGGAAGAAAGACCUAUACACAAAUAAUGCCGAAGAAUAAACAAAGUCAAGGCACUUGGCUUCCAGUCCUCACUGUCUGCAUCCCCACCUGCUUGGUUGAUCCCUCUGCUUGGGAGCUGCUUCCAUAUGGCCCUGCAUGGUUUGCCUUGCCUCCUGUCCCUAGCACCUCUCCGAGUGGGAAAGUCAUUGGUGUACCAGCACUAGGCAGCGCAGCUGCAGACACACAGUGAUACCAAGUAAUGUGGCAGGCCUCCUUUUAAGUGCAUCAAGUGGAGGCCUAGACAGCAGGGGCAUAAUUUAAAUAAAAUCUUCCUGAUGCAACACCUUUCAGACUCUGAAAAAGGCCCUUUUUUAGGAGGUGUGACACUCAUAUUAGAUAAGGCAAUCAUAACUGUAAACAAGCAUACUCCAGAGGACUGACAACGCUUUUUAAAAAUCCAAUUACAUGUUCUUAUUUGGUGUUAGUGCAAACAGAAAAAUAACAAGCCAACUUAUUUCAUCCCCACCGUGAUUUCCUCAAGGCUAAUUAAAGUGCACUCUGCUGAUGCCUAAAUCGUUCAACUCUAGGCAAACCAAAGAUUUAAAGGGACACACACCCAAUCAAUGUGUGGCUGUCAGUAAAUGGCAUUGUG